GAAGUGGUAGCUCAGUGUUUAAGACAUUGGACCACUGAUCAGAAGGUUAUGAGUUCAAAUCCCACCACUACU
Non-coding RNA from Pangasius djambal, 72 nucleotides. NCBI's taxonomy places the organism in Eukaryota, Metazoa, Chordata, Actinopteri, Siluriformes, Pangasiidae. The record is from the annotation of a GenBank genome assembly.